RNAcentral lists this ribosomal RNA (468 nucleotides) under uncultured bacterium. RNAcentral's name for it is "partial 16S ribosomal RNA". It matches the Rfam family "Bacterial small subunit ribosomal RNA", at positions 29 to 507 of the family's 1533-position model. The record is from RNAcentral.
ACGAACGCUGGCGGCGUGCUUAACACAUGCAAGUCGAACGGUGAAGCGAGUGCUUGCACUCGUGGAUCAGUGGCGAACGGGUGAGUAACACGUGAGUAACCUGCCCAUCACUCUGGGAUAAGCACUGGAAACGGCGUCUAAUACUGGAUACGACCAACCCUUGCAUGGGGUGUUGGUGGAAAGAUUUAUCGGUGAUGGAUGGACUCGCGGCCUAUCAGCUUGUUGGCGGGGUAAUGGCCCACCAAGGCGACGACGGGUAGCCGGCCUGAGAGGGUGACCGGCCACACUGGGACUGAGACACGGCCCAGACUCCUACGGGAGGCAGCAGUGGGGAAUAUUGCACAAUGGGCGAAAGCCUGAUGCAGCGACGCCGCGUGAGGGAUGACGGCCUUCGGGUUGUAAACCUCUUUCAGCAGGGAAGAAGCGAAAGUGACGGUACCUGCAGAAGAAGCACCGGCUAACUACGUG